This is a non-coding RNA of Oryctolagus cuniculus (rabbit), 289 nucleotides long. The record is from RefSeq and is a predicted model, not a curated record. NCBI's taxonomy places the organism in Eukaryota, Metazoa, Chordata, Mammalia, Lagomorpha, Leporidae.
CCAGGAACCCCGAGUGCAGGGGGAGGUCUGAGAUCUCAUCUUCCUGUGGUGACCAGGAACCCCGAGUGCAGGGGGAGGUCUGAUGUGGUGACCAGGAACCCCGAGUGCAGGGGGAGGUCUGAUGUGGUGACCAGGAACCCCGAGUGCAGGGGGAGGUCUGAUGUGGUGACCAGGAACCCCGAGUGCAGGGGGAGGGAGGUCUGAGAUCUCAUCUUCCUGUGGUGACCAGGAACCCCGAGUGCAGGGGGAGGUCUGAUGUGGUGACCAGGAACCCCGAGUGCAGGGGGAG